CAGCCGCCGCGGUAAUACGAAGGGUGCAAGCGUUACUCGGAAUUACUGGGCGUAAAGCGUGCGUAGGCGGUUGGUUAAGUCUGCUGUGAAAGCCCUGGGCUCAACCUGGGAACUGCAGUGGAAACUGGCCAGCUAGAGUGUGUCAGAGGAUGGUGGAAUUCCCGGUGUAGCGGUGAAAUGCGUAGAGAUCUGGAGGAACACCAGUGGCGAAGGCGGCCAUCUGGGACAACACUGACGCUGAGGCACGAAAGCGUGGGGAGCAAACAGGAUUAGAUACCCCAGUAGUCCCUGUCUCUUAUAC
This 301-nucleotide ribosomal RNA is filed under the name uncultured bacterium. RNAcentral's name for it is "partial 16S ribosomal RNA". It matches the Rfam family "Bacterial small subunit ribosomal RNA", at positions 509 to 807 of the family's 1533-position model. The record is from RNAcentral.